RNAcentral lists this ribosomal RNA (301 nucleotides) under uncultured bacterium. Its description in RNAcentral is "partial 16S ribosomal RNA". It matches the Rfam family "Bacterial small subunit ribosomal RNA", at positions 509 to 807 of the family's 1533-position model. The record is from RNAcentral.
CAGCCGCCACGGGAAUACGUAGGGUGCAAGCGUUAAUCGGAAUUACUGGGCGUAAAGCGUGCGCAGGCGGUUAUAUAAGACAGAUGUGAAAUCCCCGGGCUCAACCUGGGAACUGCAUUUGUGACUGUAUAGCUAGAGUACGGCAGAGGGGGAUGGAAUUCCGCGUGUAGCAGUGAAAUGCGUAGAUAUGCGGAGGAACACCGAUGGCGAAGGCAAUCCCCUGGGCCUGUACUGACGCUCAUGCACGAAAGCGUGGGGAGCAAACAGGAUUAGAGACCCCCGUAGUCCCUGUCUCUUAUAC